GGGGAAUAUUGCACAAUGGGCGAAAGCCUGAUGCAGCGACGCCGCGUGCGGGAUGAAGGCCUUCGGGUUGUAAACCGCUUUUAAUUGGGAGCAAGCGAGAGUGAGUGUACCUUUUGAAUAAGCACCGGCUAACUACGUGCCAGCAGCCGCGGUAAUACGUAGGGUGCAAGCGUUAUCCGGAAUUAUUGGGCGUAAAGAGCUCGUAGGCGGUUUGUCACGCCUGGUGUGAAAGUCCAUCGCUUAACGGUGGAUCUGCCCGGGUACGGGCAGGCUAGAGUGCAGUAGGGGAGAUUGGAAUUCCCGGUGUAACGGUGGAAUGUGUAGAUAUCGGGAAGAACGACCAAUGG
This 347-nucleotide ribosomal RNA is filed under the name uncultured bacterium. RNAcentral's name for it is "partial 16S ribosomal RNA". It matches the Rfam family "Bacterial small subunit ribosomal RNA", at positions 356 to 716 of the family's 1533-position model. The record is from RNAcentral.